RNAcentral lists this ribosomal RNA (373 nucleotides) under uncultured organism. RNAcentral describes it as "bacterial SSU rRNA". It matches the Rfam family "Bacterial small subunit ribosomal RNA", at positions 526 to 896 of the family's 1533-position model. The record is from RNAcentral.
CAGGGGAUGCAAGCGUUACUCGGAAUUACUGGGCGUAAAGCGUCUGCAGGCUUCUUUCCACGUCUGGUGUAAAAGCACGAAGCUCAACUCCGUGUACGUGCCGGAAACGAGAGAGAUAGAGUCACUCAGAGGCAUCUGGAAUGUCGUGUGUAGGGGUAAAAUCCGUAGAUCCACGAUGGAACGCCAAAAGCGAAGGCAGGAUGCUGGGGGUGUACUGACGCUCAGAGACGAAAGCGUGGGGAGCAAAGGGGAUUAGAUACCCCCGUAGUCCACGCCCUAAACUAUGCGGGCUCGGUGUUGGGAUUUUCAAUUGAUCUCAGUGCCCAAGUUAACACGGUAAGCCCGCCGCCUGGGAAGUACGGCCGCAAGGCUA